This 72-nucleotide non-coding RNA is filed under the name uncultured Pelagophyceae. Lineage: Eukaryota; Pelagophyceae. The record is from RNAcentral.
UCGACUACAAGGAGAACUGCCUCAAGUUCGUCGACGACCCCAACGCCGCCCUCGAAAUUCGAGAACACAGCC